GGCCUGAGAAAUGAAAUUUGGGAAAGCCCCAAUAGCGCCUUCCCCCUCUAAUUUAAUUUUGUUAUAUAUCUUUGUUUGUUUUAAAUUGAUUCUAACUUUAAUUAACUUAAUUAAAUCCCUUAGAAGAGGAACCAUUUUGUUUAUGAUCAUUUAUAAAACUCAAAUGAUUUUAUUUAGCGCUUAUAUGCAUUUUAAAUAUCUUAUCCUCUUUAAA
Molecule: long non-coding RNA, 214 nt
Filed under: Solanum tuberosum (potato)
Lineage: Eukaryota; Viridiplantae; Streptophyta; Magnoliopsida; Solanales; Solanaceae
Description: long non-coding RNA (STUB_LNC003473)
Source: RNAcentral